AGCGAAGCUUUUCAGUAGUUUACUACAGAAAAUGACUGAGCGGCGAACGGGUGAGUAACGCGUGAGCAAUCUACCUUAGUUACAGGGAUAGCCCGAGGAAACUCGGAUUACUACCUGAUAUUCUUUACAUUUCGCAUGAAAUCAAAAGGAAAGGUCAGCCGAACUAAGAUGAGCUCGCGUUCUAUCAGCUAGUUGGUGAGGUAAAAGCUCACCAAGGCAACGACGGAUAGCUGGUCUGAGAGGACGAUCAGCCACACUGGGACUGAGACACGGCCCAGACUCCUACGGGAGGCUGCAGCAGGGAAUAUUGCGCAAUGAGCGAAAGCUUGACGCAGCGACACCGCGUGUGGGAUGACGGAUCUAGGUUUGUAAACCACUUUCAGGAGGGAAGAAAAUGACGGUACCUCCACAAGAAGCCCCGGCCAACUACGUGCCAGCAGCCGCGGUAAUACGUAGGGGGCGAGCGUUGUCCGGAUUUAUUGGGCGUAAAGAGCUCGUAGGCGGUUCAACAAGUCGGUCGUAAAAGUUCAGGGCUCAACCCUGAAAUGUCGAUCGAUACUGUUGUGACUAGGAUACGGUAGAGGUGAGUGGAAUUCCGAGUGUAGCGGUGAAAUGCGUAGAUAUUCGGAGGAACACCAAUUGCGAAGGCAGCUCACUGGGCCGCUAUCGA
RNAcentral lists this ribosomal RNA (670 nucleotides) under uncultured bacterium. RNAcentral's name for it is "bacterial SSU rRNA". It matches the Rfam family "Bacterial small subunit ribosomal RNA", at positions 65 to 743 of the family's 1533-position model. The record is from RNAcentral.